UACGGAAGGGGCAAGCGUUGUUCGGAAUCAUUGGGCGUAAAGGGCGCGUAGGUGGUUCUGUAUGUCUACCGUGAAAGCGUACGGCUCAACUGUAUUUUGUCGGUGGAAACUGCAGGACUUGAGGCUGGGAGGGGCUGGUGGAAUUCCCUGUGUAGCGGUGAAGUGCGUAGAGAUGGGGGAGAACACUCGUGGCGAAGGCGGCCAGCUAGACCAGUUCUGACACUGAGGCGCGACAGCGUGGGGAGCAAACAGG
Molecule: ribosomal RNA, 253 nt
Filed under: uncultured bacterium
Lineage: Bacteria
Description: partial 16S ribosomal RNA
Rfam family: Bacterial small subunit ribosomal RNA
Source: RNAcentral